GAUUAGGAUUCAGAAUGACCAUGAUGAAUUAGAAAAAUGGUCUGAAAUUAAUUCAAUAAAAGACACAUGAAAACCCCUGUAUUUAGGACAGAAUAAUCACAUGCCCAAAUAAAUACUGGGCAAUGACUGGGAACAUGAGACAACAGUGUGCUCUUGCUGCAAAGAAAGGCAACAGCAUACCAGGUUGUUUUGGCAGGUGUUGCCUGCAAGUCGAGGGAAGUGAUUCUUUAGCUCUGUUCUGCACCAGUGAGGCCUCACUUGGAGUACUGUGUCCAGUUUUUGGCACUGCACAUGGACAAACUGGAAUGGGUCCAGUACUAAGAAAGAAAAAAAAA
Long non-coding RNA from Gavialis gangeticus (Gharial), 335 nucleotides. RefSeq lists it as uncharacterized. Lineage: Eukaryota; Metazoa; Chordata; Crocodylia; Gavialidae. The record is from RefSeq and is a predicted model, not a curated record. The transcript has 2 exons.